CGAAAUGCGAUAAGUAAUGUGAAUUGCAGAAUUCAGUGAAUCAUCGAAUCUUUGAACGCACCUUGCGCUCCUUGGUAUUCCUUGGAGCAUGCCUGUUUGAGUAUCAUGAAAUCUUCAAAGUAAAUCUUUUGUUAACUCAAUUGGUUUCUACUUUGGUAUUGGAGGUCUUUGCAGCUUCACACCUGCUCCUCUUUGUUCAUUAGCUGGAUCUCAGUGUUAUGCUUGGUUCCACUCGUCGUGAUAAGUUAUCUAUCGCUGAGGACACUGUAAAAGGUGGCCAAGGUAAAUGCAGAUGAACCGCUUCUAAUAGUCCAUUGACUUGGACAAUACUUUUAUGAUCUGAUCUCAAAUCAGGUAGGACUACCCGCUGAACUUAAGC
RNAcentral lists this unclassified non-coding RNA (379 nucleotides) under plant metagenome. Its description in RNAcentral is "partial contains 5.8S ribosomal RNA, internal transcribed spacer 2, and large subunit ribosomal RNA". The stretch from base 1 to 106 matches the Rfam family "5.8S ribosomal RNA", at positions 49 to 154 of the family's 154-position model. The record is from RNAcentral.